This 327-nucleotide ribosomal RNA is filed under the name uncultured bacterium. Its description in RNAcentral is "bacterial SSU rRNA". It matches the Rfam family "Bacterial small subunit ribosomal RNA", at positions 29 to 369 of the family's 1533-position model. The record is from RNAcentral.
AAUGAACGUUGGCGGCGUGGAUUAGGCAUGCAAGUCGCGCGACAAGGAACCUUCGGGUUCUGGAGGAGCGGCAAACGGGGUAGUAAGGCAUCGGAACGUACCCUCUUGUUGGGAAUAGCCGCGGGAAACUGCGAGUAAUGCCCAAUAAUCCCUACGGGGCAAAGGUCCGCCGCAGGAGGAGCGGCCGAUGUGAUACCAGCUAGUUGGUGAGGUAAUGGCUCACCAAGGCUUAGACGUCUAGGGGGUGUGAGAGCAUGGCCCCCACCACUGGGACGUGAGAUACUGCCCACGACACCUACGGGUGGGCUGCAGUCGAGAAUCUUCGGC